GGAAAAAAAAUAUUUUUCCUCUUCUUUUUCAUGUGACCAUGGACGAUUAUUUAGAUCAAGAUACCAUAUAUUAUUUGUAUAGUUUGAAGAAAGGUCAAUUUAUCUAGGAAGUUAAGCAAUUAAUAUAUCUUAAUAUAGACAACACUUGUCUAUCAUACAUUGUAACGUCCAUCCUGAUAGAAAGCAAUGUAGCCACCCA
This 199-nucleotide long non-coding RNA is filed under the name Elaeis guineensis (African oil palm). Its description in RNAcentral is "long non-coding RNA (EGUI_LNC009212)". Lineage: Eukaryota; Viridiplantae; Streptophyta; Magnoliopsida; Arecales; Arecaceae. The record is from RNAcentral.